This 393-nucleotide ribosomal RNA is filed under the name uncultured bacterium. Its description in RNAcentral is "partial 16S ribosomal RNA". It matches the Rfam family "Bacterial small subunit ribosomal RNA", at positions 523 to 918 of the family's 1533-position model. The record is from RNAcentral.
AUACGGAGGAUGCGAGCGUUAUCCGGAUUUAUUGGGUUUAAAGGGUGCGUAGGCUGUGCGUUAAGUCAGGGGUGAAAUGCCGUCGCUCAACGACGGAGCUGCCCUUGAUACUGGCGUGCUGGAGUACGGAUGCCGUUGGAGGAAUGAGUGGUGUAGCGGUGAAAUGCUUAGAUAUCACUCAGAACACCGAUUGCGAAGGCAUCUGACGAAUCCGUCACUGACGCUGAGGCACGAAAGCGUGGGGAUAGAACAGGAUUAGAUACCCUGGUAUUCCACGCCGUAAACGAUGAUGACUAACCGUCGGCGAUAGACAGCCGGUGGCCAAGCGAAAGCGAUAAGUCAUCCACCUGGGGAGUACGACCGCAAGGUUGAAACUCAAAUGAAUUGACGGGG